GACGAACGCUGGCGGCGUGCUUAACACAUGCAAGUCGAACGGAAAGGCCCUGCUUUUGUGGGGUGCUCGAGUGGCGAACGGGUGAGUAACACGUGAGUAACCUGCCCUUGACUUUGGGAUAACUUCAGGAAACUGGGGCUAAUACCGGAUAGGAGCUCCUGCUGCAUGGUGGGGGUUGGAAAGUUUCGGCGGUUGGGGCUGGACUCGCGGCUUAUCAGCUUGUUGGUGGGGUAGUGGCUUACCAAGGCUUUGACGGGUAGCCGGCCUGGGAGGGUGACCGGCCACAUUGGGACUGAGAUACGGCCCAGACUCCUACGGGAGGCAGCAGUGGGGAAUAUUGCACAAUGGGCGGAAGCCUGAUGCAGCAACGCCGCGUGCGGGAUGACUGCCUUCGGGUUGUAAACCGCUUUCGCCUGUGACGAAGCGUGAGUGACGGUAAUGGGUAAAGAAGCACCGGCUAACUACGUG
RNAcentral lists this ribosomal RNA (468 nucleotides) under uncultured bacterium. RNAcentral describes it as "partial 16S ribosomal RNA". It matches the Rfam family "Bacterial small subunit ribosomal RNA", at positions 28 to 507 of the family's 1533-position model. The record is from RNAcentral.